AUCCUGCUACAUAGACUGCAAAAGACGUUUCAUCUAGCAACCGAUGAGAAAAGAUGCAGAAAUCGACAUCCAAAAGCUAGGAGCAUCAUUAUGUAUAAAGUAUUUUUCCUUCUCAAAAAGUGACAGAGAGUGACAUUUGUCUUCUAUAUAGAGGAAAAAUGCCAACAUUUAUUACCAAGAAACCAUAAGGGAAAACAAUGACUAGGGAGAUGGAACAUCUUCUGGAUGGCCCGAGGAAAUACACGGACAAAGAGUGGAGCCAAGAUUGAAGGAAAGGCUAUCCAGAGACUGCCCUACCUGGGGAUCCAUACCAUAUACAGUCACCAAAGAAAGACACUAUUGUGUAUGCCAAGAAGUGCUUGCUGACAGGAGCCUGAUAUGGAUUUGUCCUGAAUGGCUCUGCCAGAGCCUGACAAAUACAGAUGCGGAUGCUCUCAGCCAACCAUUGGACUGACUAUGGGGUCCCCAAUGUAGGAGUUAAGGUAAGGACUGAAGGAGCUGAAGGGGUUUACAACCCCAUAAGAAGAACAACAAUAUCAACCAACAAGAUUCCUCAGGGCUCAAUACCAUCAACCAAAGAGAACAUACACGUGGAGAGACCCAUGGCUCCAUUCACAUAUGUAGCAGAAGAUGACACUUGUUGGGCAUCAAUGGAAGGGGUGACCCUUGGUCUUGUGAAGGUUUGAUGCCCCAAUGUAGUGCAAUGCCAAGGCAGGGAGGCAGAGGUUGGUGGGUGGGUAGGGGAGCACCCUCAUAGAAGCAGGGGUAGGGGUGGAAUAGGGGGUUUUCAGAUGGAAAACCUGGAAGAGGGACAAUAUUUGAAAUGUAAAUAAAACAACCAAUAAAAAUUUUUAAAAAGAUAUCAUUUACAGCUUUCUUUAUCUGUAUUACAUCUUACACAUAAAGAAAAACUUGCAAAAAAGAUGUAUAGAGUAAUUAUCUUACCCCAUAAUAUAGGAGAGAAUACAAAUGUUAGUCAUAAACCUUCAAAAUCAAAAUAAUAUAAUGACAACUUUUAUUUGAUAUAAUGAACAAAAAGGUACUUAUAUAUUGCUGUAAAUGUGGUCAAGGACAUAUUUACAGUUCAGGCAUAUUUUUCCAGGGAUGUAUAUGAUACAUUGGAUGGUUAGAAGAAAAGAAUACAUGUAGCUGUGGAAAUGAGCUUGGGAUGAGCCAACUGUUGGACUAAAUGGUCGAUUGUGUGAAAAGGAUGUAACCCUCACAAAAACACUGCAUCUUAGAUGCAGAGGGUCGUUUCCAUUCAUUGUGUGUAAUUAUGGUCUUGUGUUUAUUGUGGUCUUGGCUUUGGAAGCCUAUUUCAAUUUUAACUUUGCCUAGUGAUCUGGUUUCACACUGUUAGGAAUUUGGCAAAGCCUAGUUUCUUUCCUGGUGACAGUGGUUUUUUACAUUUUUAUUUGAAACUUGGAUUUUUUUCAGUUCUAGCUACACUCUGCAUUAUUUUGUUAUUAUUCAUCCCCCUUUUUUAGAUCCUCAUUCUAAACUCUGUAAACUAGUUGUCCUGGACCAAUCAGAUCAUUUCUCACAAUAUCUUUGAAUUUUAUGCUACAUUUUUCAAUAUAUUGCUAAUAGUUUACUAUAUCCCAUCAAAUAUUUCAAACUUGGAGUUGAAUUGUAAUGUUUUAUAUUUAUAGUCCUAUAGUGUGUAAAUGAUAGAAUAUUUUUAGAUUUUAUCCUCUGAAUGAGGAGACUUGUUUUCUCAUGAUUCUGAAACACGUAUUUGCUUCAACUAUAUUUUGCUGUCCAUUGUGAGGCAUUAGUAUUUGCCAUAAAUAUGUUGUAUAAUGGCUCAUUCUGUCACUUUCAGAGUUUUAUUUUAAACAAUGCAUGAUAAUAUUUAAGGUCAAGAGAAUGAAGCUGGCUGGACACUUACUUGUCCUUUGAAUCAGGGCAUUACUGAUUGGGAACGUUAUCAUGGGUUUUUAAGGUGGGCAACUGACUUAUCCUUCUCUUCCUGCAGUGACUUUGCUAUCAUUAGGCCAUAGGCUUCUCUAAAGUACUCAUUUAAACUCAUCGUGAAUAGAAAGUUUUAUUCAUUUGUGGAACCAUAGAGGUAAAUGGGGUGUUAGAUAAUUAUCUUAUGUUAUGUUGUAGAUAUAGAGUUACAAAUACUAUAUAAUCCUAUUUCCAAACAUACCUGGAUGUAGUAUCUCAGAUGUUUUAAGUCCAACCAUCUCAAAACCCAUAUGCUACUCAUACAAAGACAUUUUCCACAAUUAUUUCAUUUUCAGUAAACUUGUGUGGUUUCACUGAAGUUUUGGCAAUUUUUUAAUAUCCAUUAUCCAUUAUUUUGUUGGAUUUUGAGUACCUAUUGAAAAUAUUUACUUUCUACUCUUUAACUAUAACUAUGUGUAGUUAAUUAAAGUGAUUGAUUGGGAUACUGAGCGAUGACUCAAAAAUUAAUAGUAUUUGUAGCUCUAAAUGAAGACGUGUAUUGACUCUCAGCCUACUUAUCUGACUUAUUCUUCUGUAGGGUCUGAUGCCCUCAUUUGACCCCUUUGACAAUAGUAAUCAUGAAAAGAUAUAAACAGACACACACACACACACAUAUACACACACAAACAUACAUGUAAAAAUAAAAUGAAAAUUUAAUACAUUGAACUACCUUCUUUGAAAUAAUGAAAAGCAAAGAAAAUUAGUAGCAAAGGUUUAAUAUAAUUGAAAUAUAAACAUGUUGCUAUAUAUAACAUUAUAAUUAUCUAAUAAGAUAUGAAAUGGUUUAAAAUUUUAAAAUAUUAUAGAAAACUACAAGUUGGUAAAUCUCUAUUGAUCACCAAUCUAAAACCUCAACACUCUUAAAACUUCUGAAUCAUUUGAUCUAAAAUAUUUAGGUUGAUUACAAAGAUUUGAUUUUUGUGACAUUAUCAAGUUUAUUAAUCUUUCCUAUUCUUGAUUUAAUCUACUAAUAAGCUCAAAGAUUUGUUAUAUUAUCAUCAAUAUAGUAUUUUUCUUGUAAUCUCUUACCAUAUUACUUUAUAUACUUACUUUACAAAAUAAUGUGAUUCAUUUAGACAAGUUAUAUAUGUAUAUGCCACACUUUGUUUAUAUGUACCUCCCAAUAAAUUUCUAUAACCAUAAAC
Molecule: long non-coding RNA, 3098 nt
Organism: Mus pahari (shrew mouse)
Lineage: Eukaryota; Metazoa; Chordata; Mammalia; Rodentia; Muridae
Exons: 4
Source: RefSeq, a predicted model, not a curated record